GUUUUUGUAUAUAACUAAUAUUAUUAUUGUAUUCUGAAUAGUUUUGUCUAGCUUUCAAUAACAAUGUUUCGUAGAAAGAUUUUUUCCAUUUUCCUCAACGCUGUGAUCAUUCAGAACAGUGUCUCCCAAAUACUACCCAUAGGCAGCGGCUGCGGUUGCCAGCAAAUGGCAGUACAGCAAAACCUGCCAGUACCCGUCCAGGGUUCCAACAACUGCGGCUGUAGAAACAAUGUACUGAAUCUACCGAAUGGCAUCCAAUACAACAACAAUCUACAACUCAAAAACCCAUGCGU
Molecule: long non-coding RNA, 293 nt
Organism: Cydia splendana
Lineage: Eukaryota; Metazoa; Arthropoda; Insecta; Lepidoptera; Tortricidae
Exons: 2
Source: RefSeq, a predicted model, not a curated record